Molecule: long non-coding RNA, 670 nt
Organism: Helianthus annuus (common sunflower)
Lineage: Eukaryota; Viridiplantae; Streptophyta; Magnoliopsida; Asterales; Asteraceae
Exons: 2
Source: RefSeq, a predicted model, not a curated record
ACUCACUGUCACCACUCUUCCUCUCUCUGCGCUCUCUCUUUCUCAAGGAAAACCACCACCAGUACCACCGCAUGCCACCACCACCCACCCUACACCACCACCCACCCCCAUAUUCUUUAGGAUAUGCAUGCUAUCUGAGCUGGCAUCAUGGAGAAUCCUGCCAUCUGACAAAGACCUUUGAAAUGGUGCCCUGCAUAUGCGGAAUAACAGGAGCCACUAUCAUGAACAUUAUAUGACAUAUCACCAUCACCAUUCUCAGUGCCGUUGUUCUUCAAACUUUAAUUAUCACUAGAUUUGAAUAUGGGUUUUAGGGCUUCAAUUUUAGGUUUGCAUUUGGGGUUUUGAUACGGUGGUCGUGGUGGUCGAGUGAAGACGGUGGUUGUGGUGGUCGAAUGGUGGGUUCACGGCGGCGGUGGAGGGAGGGAGCUUCGAAGAUAUCGGAUCUGAAAAAGAUCUAUUCUCUACUUACAUGAGCAUUGAAAAAAUCGGAUCUAUCAUCAAUCCUGAUAAGCUUACUGAGUUGUGGACUGUUGAUUCGAAGUGUACUAAGAAGUACUUUCUACUAGUGUUGUUUUGUUGUGAUUUGAAAUUUGAUCUGUUAAUUAUAAGAUGUGUUGUUACUAAAAUUAAAUAUGGAUCAAUGUGAAUUCCAAAUUUGAUUAUGAAAUCA